This 224-nucleotide long non-coding RNA is filed under the name Glycine max (soybean). Its description in RNAcentral is "long non-coding RNA (GMAX_LNC004295)". Lineage: Eukaryota; Viridiplantae; Streptophyta; Magnoliopsida; Fabales; Fabaceae. The record is from RNAcentral.
UCAUUUGAAAUCCCUAGCCUCCUUUGAAAUUCCUUUCAUUUUUCCCUCCACUCUCUCGCACUUCCUCUCUGACUCUUCAAUUUAGCCACUAGCUCACUUCCAUGGCUUGAGGUUAGUACAACACACUGUGUGGUUUCAUACGCAUGAUUGUACUUUAGCAUAGAAGAAGACCUUUCACCACUGUUAUUCAACAUUCGAAGACAUAAACUCACGCACUAAUCACU